AAAAGCUUCUGGGAAGAUCUAAGCAUAAGGGUUACUUCCAGCAAACAUUUAUUUAUUUGAAGUUAAGGACUGGAGCAUCUCUGCUGUGAGGAAAGGCUGAGAGGUUGGAUUGUUUAAUCUGGAGAAGAGAAGGCUUGAGAAGAUAUUAAUACCUGAAGGGAGAGUGCAAAGAGGAUGGAGCCAUGUUCUUUUCAGUAAUAUCCAGUGAAGAGCAAGAGCAUGAACUGAAACAGGAGACUCCAUCUGAGCAUAGUUCUUAGUUGACUAAGAAAUCUGACACUGAAGAAAUCUG
RNAcentral lists this long non-coding RNA (292 nucleotides) under Chloebia gouldiae (Gouldian finch). RNAcentral describes it as "Erythrura gouldiae (Gouldian finch) lncRNA (ENSEGOG00005000391.1)". Lineage: Eukaryota; Metazoa; Chordata; Aves; Passeriformes; Passeridae. The record is from RNAcentral.